GAUGAACGCUGGCGGCGUGCCUAAUACAUGCAAGUCGAGCGAACAGACGAGGAGCUUGCUCCUCUGACGUUAGCGGCGGACGGGUGAGUAACACGUGGAUAACCUACCUAUAAGACUGGGAUAACUUCGGGAAACCGGAGCUAAUACCGGAUAAUAUAUUGAACCGCAUGGUUCAAUAGUGAAAGACGGUUUUGCUGUCACUUAUAGUUGGAUCCGCGCCGCAUUAGCUAGUUGGUAAGGUAACGGCUUACCAAGGCAACGAUGCGUAGCCGACCUGAGAGGGUGAUCGGCCACACUGGAACUGAGACACGGUCCAGACUCCUACGGGAGGCAGCAGUAGGGAAUCUUCCGCAAAGGGCGAAAGCCUGACGGAGCAACGCCGCGUGAGUGAUGAAGGUCUUCGGAUCGUAAAACUCUGUUAUUAGGGAAGAACAAAUGUGUAAGUAACUAUGCACGUCUUGACGGUACCUAAUCAGAAAGCCACGGCUAACUACGUG
Molecule: ribosomal RNA, 497 nt
Filed under: uncultured bacterium
Lineage: Bacteria
Description: partial 16S ribosomal RNA
Rfam family: Bacterial small subunit ribosomal RNA
Source: RNAcentral